This 440-nucleotide ribosomal RNA is filed under the name uncultured bacterium. RNAcentral's name for it is "partial 16S ribosomal RNA". It matches the Rfam family "Bacterial small subunit ribosomal RNA", at positions 338 to 795 of the family's 1533-position model. The record is from RNAcentral.
CCUACGGGUGGCAGCAGUGGGGAAUAUUGCUCAAUGGGGGAAACCCUGAAGCAGCCACGCCGCGUGCAGGAUGAAGGAUUUCGGGGUGUAAAGCUCUUUUUAUAGGGAAGAAAAUGACGUUACCUGACGAAGAAUCCCCGGCUAGCUACGUUCCAGCAGCCGCGGUAAUACGGAGGGGGCAAGCGUUAUCCGGAUUUACUGGGCGUAAAGGGAGCGUAGGCGGGAGGGCAAGUCUGCAGUGAAAAGGUCGGGCUCAACCCGGGGAUUGCAGUGGAAACUGGCAGGCUUGAGUGCGGGAGAGGUAGGUGGAAUUCGUCGUGUAGCGGUGAAAUGCGUAGAUAUUAGGAGGAACCCCGAUUGCGAAGGCAGCUUGCUGGAGCGUAACUGACGCUGAUGCUCGAAAGCGUGGGGAGCAAACAGGAUUAGAUACCCUAGUAGUC